UGAGGAAUUUUGGACAAUGGGGGAAACCCUGAUCCAGCCAUGCCGCGUGAGUGAAGAAGGCCUUCGGGUUGUAAAGCUCUUUCAGCCGGAACGAAACGGUCACGGCUAAUACCUGGGACUACUGACGGUACCGGAAGAAGAAGCACCGGCUAACUACGUGCCGGCAGCCGCGGUAAUACGUAGGGUGCAAGCAUUAAUCGGAAUUACUGGGCGUAAAGCGUGCGCAGGCGGUUUUGUAAGUCAGAUGUGAAAUCCCCGGGCUUAACCUGGGAACUGCGUUUGAAACUACAAGGCUAGAGUGUGGCAGAGGGGGGUGGAAUUCCACGUGUAGCAGUGAAAUGCGUAGAGAUGUGGAGGAACACCGAUGGCGAAGGCAGCCCCCUGGGUUAACACUGACGCUCAGGCACGAAAGCGUGGGGAGCAAACA
This 427-nucleotide ribosomal RNA is filed under the name uncultured Nitrosovibrio sp. RNAcentral's name for it is "bacterial SSU rRNA". It matches the Rfam family "Bacterial small subunit ribosomal RNA", at positions 355 to 774 of the family's 1533-position model. Lineage: Bacteria; Pseudomonadati; Pseudomonadota; Betaproteobacteria; Nitrosomonadales; Nitrosomonadaceae. The record is from RNAcentral.